AAUCUGCCCUAUCGUGGGGGAUAACGUAGGGAAACUUACGCUAAUACCGCAUACGACCGAGAGGUGAAAGCGGGGGACCGCGAGGCCUCGCGCGAUGGGAUGAGCCUAUGUCGGAUUAGCUAGUUGGCGGGGUAAAAGCCCACCAAGGCGACGAUCCGUAGCUGGUCUGAGAGGAUGAUCAGCCACACUGGGACUGAGACACGGCCCAGACUCCUACGGGAGGCAGCAGUGGGGAAUAUUGGACAAUGGGGGCAACCCUGAUCCAGCAAUGCCGCGUGUGU
RNAcentral lists this ribosomal RNA (281 nucleotides) under uncultured bacterium. Its description in RNAcentral is "partial 16S ribosomal RNA". It matches the Rfam family "Bacterial small subunit ribosomal RNA", at positions 123 to 406 of the family's 1533-position model. The record is from RNAcentral.